AUUUUCUUAAGCACAUACCUCCCAAAUUCCUAACCCUCAACUAGGUUUCAGUCCAUAAACUUACAGCAGCCGAACCACCACCAGAUUCGGUGGCCGACAGCGCCGACGACGGCCUGAACCUACCAACAGUGGAGAACUUUUCAGCCUUGAGAUCUCUUUUCAACUUCGAUUUCAACGAAGUGAGAGGAACCUUUGGCAUAUCUGCAAGAUAAGGCUCCCAUCGCUUUUUCUUUAAACAAAAUUGAUUUCUUUAUAUUUGAUUCGCCCUCUCUUUUAUUCGUUUUUCAUGCGAUAGAUCAAUCAAAAAAACAUAAACUAAAUCGGAAGAAAAAAACGAGAAUCACCUUGUGGAGACUUUUUUUUUAGAAAAGCUUUUUUGUAUUGAUUUUCCUUUUGUGUUUGUGUUCGCUCUUUUUUAUUUCCUGUUGUGUAUUCGUGAAAAAAAAUGCUUUCCUCUUCUUCUUCUUUUUUUACAAAGAUUAAAAGCUGGGCUUUUAUAGCCGAAAAAGGGAAUAAACCGAAAAAAUACAAUAUACUUGUUUCCAUUCGCUGCUGUUUUUGUUUCCUUCUUGCAGGUACAGAGUCUGUUGGCAUGUGUACCGGGUGCAGGCGUGGCGUACGAGGGCUGUGGAGGUAUGGGACUGCUAUAGUAGAGGUAUGGGGUUGUUUCUUGGUUGUGGCGCAAAACGAAAAGAGGGGGGACCUAAGGUUUCUAGAGCUGUUAAGGGAAUGGGCCUAUUGGGCUUGUUUCGAUUUGGGCUCAUGAUGGGUAUCGGGCUAGGGUUAAUGUAUUUGGGCUGCUUUGUACCAAAGACCUGAACUGUGGUAUACAUAUUUUUUUUGUAACACCCCUUACUCGUAUUCCGGCUCGGAACAGAGUAUGAGGUAUUACUAAGUUUUUUUAAAAAAAUUUCGACAGCAUUUCUGCUUAAUUUUGCUUAAACCUCCUGCAAAUUUAAAUCACAAUCCAAUAUAUAUAUAUCAACCAAACUCAUUUAUAAUAAUACUCACAAUUUAACUAUUAAUGAACACCACAUUUUAAAUCAAACCAUAACAUAUAUUUACAUGAUGAUUCCAUAUUUCAUAGGUCGUCUAUACAUGCCAUAAUUUCCGGAACGAUAGUAGCAAAAUACCCCAAGUGUGAAGGAUAGUGUGGAUGAUUGUCUGACUUCGUUCCAAAUUUUCGAGUUGUCGGAAGUCACUAUAAUCAAGGGAAAAAUAAAAUCGAGUAAGCAUAUAUCUUAGUAAGUAAACACAUGAUAAAUAAGUAAUUACUCACAUAACUACACCAAAAUAUAAACUUAUUCAUGAAUAACUUCAUUGUUUAGGCAAUUUCCAGCAAACUGUUUUUCUGCGUCAUAGUCGCUAAUUUAUUUUUAUCCGGAGCUACAGGGCUCCAAAUUGAGUUUCGUAAAUUUUCCCUGAAACUAGACUCAUAUACCAUUUCACCAUAAAAAUUUCAGAAUUUUUUACCCAGCCAAUUAGUACAGUUUAUUCAUUAAAACUUCCCCUGUUUCACUGCCCAACGGUUCUGACCCUUCCUCAAAAAAAUUCACUUAACUCUCUGUAAAAAAUUUUAAAAAUGGUUUCGCUUGUUUCUAUUAAAAAUAGAGUCAAUAAGGAAUCCAGGAAUAUAAAUUUCACACCAUAAUUAUUUUUGUACAAUUUUUGGUGAUUUUCCAAAGUUAGAACAAGGGAUCCCGAAAUCAAUCCAGCCCUGUUUCAGUAAAAUUCAGAUAUCUCCAAAAAUACAACUCUUUUGCUUAUUCUAUUUAUUUCAUAUGAAAAUAGACACAUUCAGCUUCAAUUUCAUAUAUUAUUCAGCUUCCCAUUCAUUUUCCACCAUUUAUGGUGAUUUUUCAAAGUUACCCAUCUGCUGUUGUUCAACACAGUUUAUAACUAAAUCGUUCCUUUUUUCGUUUUUGAUAUUUUCUCCCAUCUCAUACAUGGAUCGAUUUAGUAUCCAACUCAAUAUUUGCCCCAUAAAAAUUUCCACCAUAUGGAAAUAUUCACCUUCCACACUUUUUCAUUGAGCACUCGGAAUGUUAACCGUUAUUGGUGGAUCUCGCACUUAGCACCACCACUUAAUCGGGGAAUCAGCACUUAGCAACCCCUUGGGGGAAUCAGCACAUAGCAACCCCCUUUUUAUUUCAGAGAUACGGUGGAUAUCGCACUUAGCACCACCAAUGAACUGGGGAAUCAGCACUUAGCAACCCCUCGGGGGAAUCAGCACAUAGCAACCCCCUUUCACAUUUCAAAGAUACGGUGGAUAUCGCACAUAGCACCACCAAUGAAUCGGGGAACCAGCACACAGCAACCCCUUUAUGUACAACAUACUUCGGCUUAUUCCGAGUGUUCAACCCAUAAAUCAUAUAUUGCAACCCUUUACCACCUUUCCCGAUUUAACAACAUUUUUAGGAUAUGGCCAAACAUUUAUUUUAAUUCCAAAUAAAUCUCAACAUAUAUCAAUUAAUGUCAAAAUAAUACAUCAAGUCACGUGUUUACUUACCUCGGUGCAAAAUAUCGUAAUAUUGCACUUCACUCCACUAUCUUUUCUUUUCCUUGUUUGAGAUAAUCUUCACGUCUUUCUUGAUCUAUAAUAGCAAAUUUAACUCAUUUAAUGUUCACAUUCAUUAAAAUAGUCCACCACCCAACUUUUUGAAAAAUUACAAUUUUGCCUCCAAACUUUUGCAUAAUUACACUUUUGUCCCCAAGCUCGGAAAUUAAACUUCAUCACUUAUUCUUAGGUUUUAUGACAUGCUGAACAUUUUUCCCUUCUAUGGCAACAUCAAAUUCUCACUCUAACAUACACUUAUGAACAAUAAUUAUUUUUACCGAUUAUGCCUAUUUACCCGUUUUCGCUUGAAAUCGCUUAGCAAAAGUUGUUUAACAUAAUUUAUAGCUUCAUAUUCCACCAUAAAACAGCAAAAUAAACACAUUUCACCUAUGGGUAUUUUUCCAAAUAUGAGCCCUAACACGAAUUAUUGCUAGAAUAAGCUAAACCGAGUUACGAGGAUUCCAAAAAUGCGAAGAACAUUAAAAACGGGGCUAGGAUGCACUUACUAUGAGCUUGAGAAAGCAAAGAAACCUUAGCUAUGGCUUCCUUCAAAUUUCGGCAGCAACUAAUGAGGAAGAUGAUGAUUUUUGUCAUCUUUUUCCCAUUUUAUUUUAUUUUAUUACCAAAUGACUAAUAUGCCCCCACUUAAAAAAAAUCUAUUUCUCUCAUUUCUUAUGUCUAUUUUUGUCCAUCAACUAACUAAUGGUCUAAUUACCACAUAAAGACCUCCAAUUUAAAAUUUCAUAUCAAUUAGAUACUUCUACAUAUAGAACUCAACUUUUGCACUAUUUACAAUUUAGUCCUUUUGACUAAAUUGAGUGCCCAAACGUCGAAAUUUUCGAACGAAAUUUUUACGAAAAUUUUCCGUGAAAUUGUAGACCAUAAAAAUAUAAUAAUAACCAUAUUUUCCCUCGUCGAAUUUGUGGUCCCGAAACUACUAUUCCGACUAGGCCCAAAAUCGGGCUGUUACAACUCUCCCCCCUUAAGGAUUUUCGUCCCCGAAAAUCUUACCGGAAAAGAGAUUUGGGUACUGUUUCCUCAUAAUUUCCUCCGGUUCCCACGUAGCUUCCUCCAUCCCAUGUUUUUGCCACAGUACUUUUACUAAGGAUACACUUUUAUUCCUUAACUGCUUGACUUCCCGAGCCAAAAUCUUUAUUGGUUCUUCCUCAUAAGUCAUAUCUGGUCUGACCUCAAUCUCUGUAGGGGAAACUAUAUGUGAAGGAUCCGAACGGUAACGUCGCAACAUCGACACAUGAAACACAUUAUGUAUCUUUUCCAACUCCGGUGGUAAAGCUAACCGAUAUGCUACAGGGCCAACUCUCUCGGUAACUUCAUAUGGUCCAAUAAAUCGUGGACUUAGUUUGCCUUUACGACCAAAUCUCAGAAUCUUCUUCCAUGGAGACACCUUCAAGAACACCUUAUCACCUACUUGAAACUCAAUUUUUUUUCUCUUUAAAUCCGCAUACGACUUUUGCCGAUCUGAGGCAGCCUUUAAACAGUCACGAAUUAUUUUCACCUUUUCUUCAGUUUCUUUCACCAAGUCGACUCCAUGAAUCCGGUUCUCACCGAGCUCAGUCCAAUAUAAAGGAGUUCUACACUUACGCCCAUAUAAUGCUUCAUACGGUGCCAUUCGUAUACUUGACUGAUAGCUAUUGUUAUAAGCAAAUUCAACCAAUGGUAGAUAUUUCUCCCAACUGCCUUUCAAUUCUAAAAUACAACACCGGAGCAUAUCUUCAAGAAUUUGAAUCACUCUUUCCGAUUGCCCGUCAGUUUGCGGAUGAAACUCAGUACUGAAAUUCAAUUUUGUACCCAAGGCUUCCUGCAACUUUAUCCAAAACCUCGAAGUAAAUCUCGGAUCUCUAUCCGAUAUAAUAGAUUUAGGCACCCCAUGUAAUCUCACUAUUUCAGCAACAUAUAAUUCUGCCAACCUGUCAAGUGAGUAAUCAAUGCGUAUCGGAAUAAAAUGAGCCGACUUUGUCAAUCUAUCAACAAUUACCUAAAUAGCAUCUUUCUUCUUUGGAGUUAAAGGCAAUCCUGUCACAAAAUCCAUCGUAAUACUAUCCCACUUCCACUCUGGAAUCGUUAUCGGUUGAAGUAAACCCGAUGGUACUUGAUGCUCAGCCUUCACUUGUUGACAGAUUAAACACUUUGAUACAAAUUCCGAGAUAUCCUUUUUCAUGCCUGGCCACCAAUACAACUUCUUCAAAUCAUUAUACAUUUUCACACUACCCGGAUGAACUGACAAGUCACCACUAUGUGCCUCACAUAAAAUGGUCUGAAUUAACUCAUCAUUUCUUGGUACACAUACUCUAUCCCGGAACAUCAAGCAAUCAUCUGAACCAAUUUGAAAAUCUGAGUCAACACCUGCUUCACACUGAGCUCUCUUGGCUUGCAAUUUACUGUCAUUCUUUUGAGAUUCCCGAAUUUGCUGAAGAAAUAAUGGUCUAGCUCUCAAUUCAACCAACAUUGAGCCAUCAUCAGAUAAAGUUAACAUCGUACCCAUAGCUCUCAAAGCAAAUAAAGAUUUUCUGCUCAAGGCAUCAGCAACCACAUUAGCUUUCCCGGGGUGAUAAUCAAUCACUAGCUCAUAAUCUUUGAUUAGCUCGAGCCAUCUUCGUUGCCGCAAAUUCAAAUCUUUUUGGCUCAUCAAAUACUUCAAACUCUUAUGAUCAGUGAAGAUUCGGCACUUUUCACCAUACAAAUAAUGACGCCAAAUUUUUAAAGCAAAAACAAUGGCAGCCAAUUCUAAAUCAUGCGUCGGAUAAUUCUUCUCAUGCGAUUUCAAUUGUCUCGAAGCAUAAGCUAUUACUUUGCCCUCUUGCAUUAACACACACCCAAGACCAUUCAACGAUGCAUCACUGUAAAUUACAAACUCCUUCCCGGACUCAGGUUGCACCAACACUGGCGCCUCAGUCAAUAAUGCCUUCAACUUUUCAAAACUCUGUUGACAUUUAUUGGUCCAUUCAAACUUGACAUUCUUCUGCAGUAACUUAGUCAUAGGAGAAGCAAUCAUCGAAAAUCCCUUGACAAAGCGUCUGUAAUACCCAGCUAAGCCCAGAAAGCUUCUAACUUGUGUCACAUUCUUUGGUGGCUCCCAAUCAACAAUUGCUGAAAUUUUGCUUGGAUCAACCCGAAUACCUUCACUUGAAACUAUAUGUCCCAAGAAUCCAACCUCACGAAGCCAAAACUCACUUUUGCUGAAUUUAGCAUACAAUUUCUUUUCUCUCAGAAUCUGCAACACAGUUCUUAAAUGUUCUGCAUGCUCAGAUUCAUCCCGAGAAUAGAUUAAAAUAUCAUCUAUGAACACCACCACGAACUUAUCCAAGUACGGCCGAAAAAUUCGGUUCAUCAAGUCCAUAAAAAUAGCUGGAGCAUUUGUUAACCCAAAAGGCAUUACCAGAAAUUCAUAGUGUCCAUACCUUGUUCUAAAGGCGGUUUUCGGCACAUCAGACUCUUUAACUCUUAACUGAUAGUAACCAGACCUCAAAUCAAUCUUAGAAAACACUGUUGCCCCUUUUAAUUGAUCAAAUAAAUCAUCAAUUCUCGGCAAAGGAUACUUGUUCUUUAUAGUCACCUUGUUGAGCUGACGAUAGUCAAUACAAAGUCUCAUAGAGCCGUCCUUUUUUUUUCACAAAUAACACAGGAGCACCCCAAGGAGAAAAACUCGGUCUCACAAAUCCUUUAUCUGUCAACUCUUGUAACUGAGCUUUUAAUUCCUUCAACUCAGUCGGAGCCAUUCGAUACGGUGCAAUAGAAAUCGGUGCAGUACCAGGUAACAGAUCAAUAGAAAACUCAACUUCUCUAAUCGGAGGUAACCCAGGCAAUUCCUCUGGAAAUACAUCUGGAAAUUCACAAACUACCGGCACUGAUUCAAGCUUUGACCCAGUAAUAUCCGUGUUCAGCACAUAAGCAAGAUAAACUUCACAUCCCUUUCUCAAGUAUUUCUGAGCAGACAUGUGCGAAAUCACCAUAGGCAACUUAUUCGGCUCCUUUGUUUCAACCCGGAGAAUUUCACCGUUUUCACAAUUUAAUUCAAGAAUUUUCUGUCUACAAUUUACCUUGGCAUCAUGCAAUAUCAACCAAUCCAUCCCCAAAAUAACAUCAAACUCAUCAAAUGGUAACAACAUCAAAUUAGCCGGGAAACAGUGACCUUGAAUCAUCAGGGGACAAUUCUUGCAAACCUUAUCGACUAAGACAUAUUUGCCUAAAGGAUUUGAUACUUUAACUACAAAUUCAGUGUUUUCAACAGGCAAUUUCUUACUAGACACCAAAUUCAUGCAUAUAUAUGAAUGAGUAGAGCCGGGAUCAAUCAAAGUAAUAACAUCAAUAUCAUGAAGAGAAAAUGUACCAGUAAUCACAUCGGGAGAUGAGGCAUCCUCUCGAGCGCGUAUAGCAUAAGUCCUGGCAGGCGCUCUAGUUUUUGAUCCUCCAGCUGCAUAUUUUAUCACACUCUUACCACUGGCUUUGCUUCCCACAUUUCUCGGUGGUCUGCCUCUACUGACAACAUCACCCGAUCCAGCUCUUUGUAAUCUUUCUUCUUCUAUUCUCUCAGGGCAGUCUUUUACAUAAUGCUCUUGGGAACCACAUCUGAAACAAGCUCGUUUAAAUCCCCAACACUCACCAGUAUGUCGCCUGCCACACUGUUGACAUUCAGGUCUGGUGUUUCCUACAUUACCCACACUUGCCACUGAGGUAGCUCGAGUUGUAGUUCCGGAAUAUGACCUCCCUCGGUCUCUGCGUGAAUACCCAACUGAACCGGUUGGUCGUGGAUCCAUCCCUUUAAACUUCUUCGGGUGAGAUUGAAAUGUUCUGCCCAUUGACCUCUUCCUUACAUCUCGAGCUUCCAUCUCUGCCCUUCUCUUUUCUCUACUCAGCUCUUCAGCUUUGCAAGCACGAUCAACUAAUACCAGAAAUUCUUUUAACUCUAAAAUUCCAACAUGUAAUCUGAUGUCUUCAUUUAGCCCCUCUUCAAAUCUUUUACACAUAAUAGCCUCCGUAGGAACACAUUCCUGGGCAUAUUUACUAAGCCGGACAAACUCCCGUUCAUAUUCUGCUACUGACAUUCGGCCCUGUUUCAAUCCGAGAAACUCUUUGCGCUUCUGAUCAAUAAACCGUUGGCUUACAUAUUUCUUUCUGAAUUCUUCCUGAAAGAAGUCCCAAGUAACUCUUUCUUUUGGAACCACCGUUAUUAAUGUUUUCCACCAACGGUAUGCCGAAUCCUUCAAUAAAGACACAGCACAUUUCAAACAUUCCUCAGGAGUACAAGAUAAUUCAUCAAAUACCUGGAUAGUAUUUUCAAGCCAAAACUCGGCUUUUUCCGGAUCAUCAUCAACAUUGGCCCUGAAAUCUUCAGCCCCAUGCUUUCGAAUUCUAUCAACGGGUGGUUUACUUGAUCUCACCAAUUCAGCACUUCGUGGAGCUACGGGGACCGGCGGAGGAAUAGGAGGGGGUGGAGGAGGUGGAACAUUCGGAUUUACACGGACAUAUUCUGUAUACCAAUCACUCAUCAUUCGGAGGAAGGCUUCUCGAGCCUCAUCCUGUCCAUGUGUCUCAUGUCUACUCUCUUCAUGCGCGGUUCCUUGUGCGGGAACCGGCGUGUUACUUUCAACAUCAUCUGCCAUACUUCGAUUAGGAUCCAUUUACUAUAUAAAACAAAAUUUUAAAUUGUCAGAAAUCAUCACACUAUCACAAUAUAUUGAUGGCAUGUAUAGACUGACUUUCACACAUAUUUUAUUGGUCCGAGAACCGAAUAAACCGUAGCUCUGAUACCACUAAAAUGUAACACCCCUUACUCGUAUUCCGGCUCGGAACAGAGUAUGAGGUAUUACUAAGUUUUUUUAAAAAAAUUUCGACAGCAUUUCUGCUUAAUUUUGCUUAAACCUCCUGCAAAUUUAAAUCACAAUCCAAUAUAUAUAUAUCAACCAAACUCAUUUAUAAU
This 8495-nucleotide long non-coding RNA is filed under the name Gossypium barbadense (sea-island cotton). Its description in RNAcentral is "long non-coding RNA (GBAR_LNC002728)". The record is from RNAcentral. Lineage: Eukaryota; Viridiplantae; Streptophyta; Magnoliopsida; Malvales; Malvaceae.